AAAGUAAAAAAUCGUAACAAGGUUUCCGUAGGUGAACCUGCGGAAGGAUCAUUGAUGAGCCCGAGAACGACCGCGAACCCUAUGCUCACGCUCGCGCGUGGCGCCGUCCGCAGGGCAGCGCCCCGCGCACCGCCCGCUCCCGUCGCGGGGCGUGGUGGACGAGGAUCCCACAAGGCGCCGUGCGCGCGCCAAGGAAUGGAAACUUUGUGCGGGGGUCACCGACCCCCGACGAGUCUUGGUAGAACCAAACGACUCUCGGCAACGGAUAUCUCGGCUCUCGCAUCGAUGAAGAACGUAGCGAAAUGCGAUACUUGGUGUGAAUUGCAGAAUCCCGCGAACCAUCGAGUCUUUGAACGCAAGUUGCGCCCGAGGUGGUUCCACCGAGGGCAUGCCUCCCUGGGCUUCACGCAUCGCGUCGCCCCAUCCCGACAUGGUACGGGGUGGGAGCGUAGUGUGGCAUCCCGUGCGCGUAUCCGCGCGUCGGCCUGCCGAAAUGCAUCGCGUUCGGUACUCGGCACAGGACGCCACGAGCGACGGUGGUCGGAUCGUUCCGCUAACCGGCCGUGGUUGGUUCCCGGUGCACGCUGCUACCACGCGCGCGUCCCGUUCGGCGCCGAGCCGCGCCUUCGACCGCGAACCCAGGUGAGGCGGGACCACCCGCUGAGUUUAAGCAUAUCAAUAG
This 682-nucleotide ribosomal RNA is filed under the name Utricularia subulata. RNAcentral's name for it is "eukaryotic LSU rRNA". The stretch from base 251 to 406 matches the Rfam family "5.8S ribosomal RNA". The record is from RNAcentral. Lineage: Eukaryota; Viridiplantae; Streptophyta; Magnoliopsida; Lamiales; Lentibulariaceae.